Ribosomal RNA from Ictidomys tridecemlineatus (thirteen-lined ground squirrel), 111 nucleotides. The record is from Ensembl. Lineage: Eukaryota; Metazoa; Chordata; Mammalia; Rodentia; Sciuridae.
GUCUAUGGCCAUACCACCCAGAAAACACACAAUCUUGUCGGAUCUUGGAAGCAAGGCAGGGUUGGGCCUGGUUAGUACUCUCCAUUCAGAAAGGAAAUGGAGUGGAAGGGA